GGGGCGUAGCUCAGUUGGGAGAGCACCUGCUUUGCACGCAGGGGGUCGCAGGUUCGAUUCCUGUCGCCUCC
This 71-nucleotide transfer RNA is filed under the name marine eukaryotic metagenome. It matches the Rfam family "tRNA". From Rfam's summary of the family: Transfer RNA (tRNA) molecules are approximately 80 nucleotides in length. Their secondary structure includes four short double-helical elements and three loops (D, anti-codon, and T loops). Further hydrogen bonds mediate the characteristic L-shaped molecular structure. tRNAs have two regions of fundamental functional importance: the anti-codon, which is responsible for specific mRNA codon recognition, and the 3' end, to which the tRNAs corresponding amino acid is attached (by aminoacyl-tRNA synthetases). tRNAs cope with the degeneracy of the genetic code in two manners: having more than one tRNA (with a specific anti-codon) for a particular amino acid; and 'wobble' base-pairing, i.e. permitting non-standard base-pairing at the 3rd anti-codon position. The record is from RNAcentral.